Molecule: ribosomal RNA, 467 nt
Filed under: uncultured bacterium
Lineage: Bacteria
Description: partial 16S ribosomal RNA
Rfam family: Bacterial small subunit ribosomal RNA
Source: RNAcentral
GACGAACGCUGGCGGCGUGCUUAACACAUGCAAGUCGAACGGAAAGGCCCUGCUUUUGUGGGGUGCUCGAGUGGCGAACGGGUGAGUAACACGUGAGUAACCUGCCCUUGACUUUGGGAUAACUUCAGGAAACUGGGGCUAAUACCGGAUAGGAGCUCCUGCUGCAUGGUGGGGGUUGGAAAGUUUCGGCGGUUGGGGAUGGACUCGAGGCUUAUCAGCUUGUUGGUGGGGUAGUGCUUACCAAGGCUUUGACGGGUAGCCGGCCUGAGAGGGUGACCGGCCACAAUGGGACUGAGAUACGGCGCAGACUCCUACGGGAGGCAGCAGUGGGGAAUAUUGCACAAUGGGCGGAAGCCUGAUGCAGCAACGCCGCGUGCGGGAUGACGGCCUUCGGGUUGUAAACCGCUUUCGCCUGUGACGAAGCGUGAGUGACGGUAAUGGGUAAAGAAGCACCGGCUAACUACGUG